UCCGGCGUGGUCGAGUUGGAAAGACGCGCGGCUGUUACCCGCGAGAGCGCAGGUUCGAGCCCUGCCGCCGGAG
This 73-nucleotide transfer RNA is filed under the name Actinomycetota bacterium. Its description in RNAcentral is "Actinobacteria bacterium tRNA-Asn". It matches the Rfam family "tRNA". From Rfam's summary of the family: Transfer RNA (tRNA) molecules are approximately 80 nucleotides in length. Their secondary structure includes four short double-helical elements and three loops (D, anti-codon, and T loops). Lineage: Bacteria; Bacillati; Actinomycetota. The record is from RNAcentral.